RNAcentral lists this ribosomal RNA (272 nucleotides) under uncultured Pseudomonadales bacterium. Its description in RNAcentral is "partial 16S ribosomal RNA". It matches the Rfam family "Bacterial small subunit ribosomal RNA", at positions 524 to 795 of the family's 1533-position model. The record is from RNAcentral. Lineage: Bacteria; Pseudomonadati; Pseudomonadota; Gammaproteobacteria; Pseudomonadales.
UACAGAGGGUGCGAGCGUUAAUCGGAUUUACUGGGCGUAAAGCGCGCGUAGGUGGCUAAUUAAGUCAAAUGUGAAAUCCCCGAGCUUAACUUGGGAAUUGCAUUCGAUACUGGUUAGCUAGAGUAUGGGAGAGGAUGGUAGAAUUCCAGGUGUAGCGGUGAAAUGCGUAGAGAUCUGGAGGAAUACCGAUGGCGAAGGCAGCCAUCUGGCCUAAUACUGACACUGAGGUGCGAAAGCAUGGGGAGCAAACAGGAUUAGAUACCCUGGUAGUC